AUGGAGUUUGGACUGAGCUGGGUUUUCCUUGUUGCUAUUUUCAAAGGUGUCCAGUGUGAGGCGCAGCUGGUGGAGUCUGGGGGAGGCUUGGUACAGCCUGGGGGGUCCCUGAGACUCUCCUGUGCAGCCUCUGGAUUCACCUUCAGUAGCACCAGGAUGAACUGGAUCCGACAGUCUCCAGGGAAGAGGCUGGAGUGGGUGGCCGACAUAAAGUAGGAUGGAAGUGAGAAAUACUAUGUAGACUCUGUGAAGGGCCGAUUCACCAUCUCCAGAGACAACACCAAGAACUCCCUCUAUCUGCAAAUGAACAGCCUGAGAGCUGAGGACACAGCCGUGUAUUACUGUGUGAGAGACACAGAUUCAAGUUUCACAAGCAGUGAGGGAGAAAUGGGGAGU
This is a non-coding RNA of Macaca mulatta (Rhesus monkey), 396 nucleotides long. The record is from the annotation of a RefSeq genome assembly. NCBI's taxonomy places the organism in Eukaryota, Metazoa, Chordata, Mammalia, Primates, Cercopithecidae.